Molecule: ribosomal RNA, 909 nt
Filed under: Triticum aestivum (bread wheat)
Lineage: Eukaryota; Viridiplantae; Streptophyta; Magnoliopsida; Poales; Poaceae
Description: partial small subunit ribosomal RNA
Source: RNAcentral
AUGUCCAUGGAGAUUGGGAGCAACGACUGUGAGGAGGAGGAGGAGGACACUGGCAAUGGCAAUCCGAUGAAGCCAGGUACUCUUCUACAUUCAGCAUACCCGCCGCCGCCGGGGCUGCUGCGACGAGGAGCACCUGUCACGCACCGGCGGCAGUCCCAGCAGGCUAUUCCGGCGCCCUUCAUGUCAUCCGGGCCGCCCACCGCCGACACGCCGAUGCCCCAUCAUCAGGGGCAGCUCGGUAUGUUCCAUGGCCAGCACGGCGGAUCCAGGCCGCUGUUCUGUCCGCCAGGGAGCUACCCAAGUGCCGCCGAUGCCAUCGCGUCCAGAAAUCAGCAGCGUUUCACCGCCAACAGUGCCGUCUAUGCCCCAAGCCGGCGCAUAUGGAAUCCAAAUUCAACACUAAUGACUAUGUUCUACAACGGCGCAGUCAACAUGUUCGACGUCCCGGUGGACAAGGCCCGGGAGAUUAUGGUGUUAGCAAGCAGGACAUCUGUUUCUGACAAUGCUGCAAGAGUGCCCGUGCCUGAGCCGAGGCAUGUGUCGGUCAUUUCAAGUCCAAUCCCCGCCGUGUCACAAGCUCCGACGAUCUCCAAGCGCAUACCAGGCUACCAAAAUUACACCCCAGCUCCAACAACAUCUUCAGGCGUACCAUCAUCAGUUGUUCCACCACCAAGUCAGGCAUCCUCAGCUCAACGGAUGCAACAAGCAUCUCCUGCUGUCGCAGCAGCUAUUAAGCCAAUUGCUGUCCAUCAAUCUCGGAAAGCAUCUCUCGCACGAUUUUUAGAGAAGCGAAAAGAAAGAGUUUCAAGUGUCACACCGUACCCAUUGUCAAAGAGCCCGCUAGUGAGCAGCGGCACCUUUGGUAGUGCGAGCACUCCAAGCAGGUUAUCUAGCGCCAAGAGUCUAUGA